UCGUACACACACGUAUUCGGAUUGCACAAUUAAGCCGGGUUUCCACUUGUCAUAUUUUAUAACUGAGACCACGUCCGUGUGUCUGGAAUCCGUGGCACGGAUAAUUAUUUGAUCGCGUAUAGGUCCGCGCUUGUUAUCUCGUACGAGUCAAGUUAUCGGAUCCGCGGUUCCACGGACAUGUAUCGACUUUCUCGGACGAUAUUCCAUCCGAAAAUAACUGCAAUAUCAUUUUACCAAUCAUUCAGUGCUUUUCGUGUAUUUCAGUCUUCCGAAAGGGGAAUUGUAUUG
Cinara cedri is the source of this 288-nucleotide non-coding RNA. NCBI's taxonomy places the organism in Eukaryota, Metazoa, Arthropoda, Insecta, Hemiptera, Aphididae. The record is from the annotation of a GenBank genome assembly.